Molecule: long non-coding RNA, 2029 nt
Filed under: Papio anubis (olive baboon)
Lineage: Eukaryota; Metazoa; Chordata; Mammalia; Primates; Cercopithecidae
Description: lncRNA (ENSPANG00000050371.1)
Source: RNAcentral
CCAGCAUGAACAUUAAAAUACAGAUCUUAAGACUUAAAGAAGACUCUUUGUGGCAUUAAGAUGCCAAAUUCCAACCGGACUCUGGUGUAGCACCACGUGGCAGACAGGCUCUGAGGAAAAUAAAGAUAUUUUCCCCCAACAUAUCUUUAUUGGACACAUUUUGAAAUGGUCCUGCAAAGCCAUCUUUCGAGGGGGAAAUUUGCAUCUGGAAAGAAUCUCCAUUUAUGCAGCCAGGCCUUUCCCAGCCAGAGGAUUUCCCAGAUAUAGGAGAGAUUAACUAAGAGUCUGAAAUGCUAAGGCCCUAAAAGGGACAUUUGCCAUCUAUUCUCUCUGAAGGCUGCUACUUGGAGGCUUCAUCUACAUGACAAGAACCUUGGCUUCCAUAACCUCCUUAUCUUAACUAAGCAUUUCUUUCUGCUGUCUUCGAGCCUUUAGACAAAGCUUAACUCAGCCAAUUGCCAACUCAAUCAAUUGCCAAUUAGAAAAUCAUUGACUCCACCUAUAACCUAUAAGUCUCCACCUCUUCAAGAUAUCCUGCCUCUUUAGGCUGAACCCAUGUGCACCUUCCAUGUAUGAAUUUAUGUCUUUGCCUGUAAUUUCUGGUCACUCCUACUGGCUCAGAAUAAACCUCUUCAUAUGUUUUACAGAGUUUGCUUUUUUCAUCAACAUGCUUCACUAUCACUGGUGCUGAUGAGCUAAUACUGUUUUAUCCUUGCUAAAUAUUAUUUUUCUUCAUUUUUUUGGAUAUGGGGUCUCACUCUGUUGCCCAGGCUAGACUGCAAUCCAGCUCACUGCAGCCUUGACCUCAUGAGCCCAAGCAAUCCUCCCACCUCAGCCUCCAGAGUAGCUGAGACUAUAAGCAGGCACCACCACACCCAGUUAAUUUUUUUUUUUAAAAAAGAAAACUCAACACCACAAACACGACUAUAUAUGGAACCCAGUCCUCUCUUGACUUAACUGACAUGUCUAGUACAGAACACACACAUUUUAUUUGUUAGGAGACAGCCACGGGUCCCAGCGGCAAACAGGUGGGAAAGCUCAGGGAGAAGGCCAAGGCGUCUGUGACAGAUUAAACGCAGCAUUAGUGCUCUACUCCAGACCUUAGGAGUGACUCAGCCAAGGCCAGGCACUCAGCCGUCCAAACCAUUCAGCCGUCCGAACCAAGAACUCCCUGCACUGCUCCCCAGGGCCUCUGUGCACUCCAUUCCUCUUUGAAAUGUUUUUAUAGCGAUGAUAAACUGACUCAAAAAAAAAAGCCCUGAAACGCAUGGUCUCUGUUACUGACAAAUGGGUUCAGAUGUGUUUCUAUUACAAAUACGCAUCCUGGCGCUUCAGAUUGCUCUCCGGUGCCAUGAAAAACAUGUGCAGGUGCAUCCAGAGAGAAUCUGAGGCCAGCUAACUCUAGCAAGCAAAAUACCAUUGACCAAAGACCAGGUCUUUCUGGUCUCCUGAGGCACAUCUAAGCAGGGAUUUCUAGGAUCCAGACAACAACAUUAUCAGGCUGUGAUGAGGGAAAUGGACUCCAAAUUUCAGAUGAGUCUCCCACAGCAUUUUGUGACUUCACCUUUAGUCUCCAGGGAGAAUGAAACUUCAGUCUGAAUAGAGCUGCCGGCUUUUCAGGAGCUUAAACCAUUGCACAAAUAUUGAAUAGAGGUUGUGAGAGAGGCUCCAGGGUCAGCAAACCUUAGCAAAUGUGCAUUCUUAAGAGGCAACAUGAAGCAGUAAAAUAAUUGGGAAGCAGGGAAAGAUGCAGAGUCAGGUCUGAGUCCCGCUCUGCCACUCUCCAAGAACCCUUUAUCUUCUCCCUCUCUCUAUCCUGGGAUGAUCACGUGUGUUUUGCAAGAUUGUCUUAAGAAUGAGAAGUAACUAACAUCUCAAGUGCCUGACACUUCACAGUGGCUCUUCUCAUCAAAUUCACUUUCACAGACAGAACCAGAUGAUCAGCCCACAAGAAAAGAAGUGGCAAGAAGCAACGUGCCCUUAUUCAGCUUGAAAUCCAACUGGAAGGCAAUCCAGUAAGGAUGGAAAU